CUGGCGGCGUGCCUAAUACAUGCAAGUCGAACGGUCUUUCUAUGGAAGCUUGCUUCCACUGAGAAGAUAGUGGCGAACGGGUGAGUAACACGUGGGUAACCUGCCCAUAAGAGGGGGAUAACAUCCGGAAACGGGUGCUAAUACCGCAUAGUUUUCUUGAUUGCAUGAUUGAGAAAGGAAAGACGGCCUUUGUGCUGUCGCUUAUGGAUGGACCCGCGGCGUAUUAGUUAGUUGGUGAGGUAACGGCUCACCAAGACGAUGAUACGUAGCCGACCUGAGAGGGUGAUCGGCCACAUUGGGACUGAGACACGGCCCAAACUCCUACGGGAGGCAGCAGUAGGGAAUCUUCCGCAAUGGACGAAAGUCUGACGGAGCAACGCCGCGUGAGUGAAAGAAGGUUUUCGGAUCGUAAAACUCUGUUGUCAGAGAAGAACAAGUUGGAGAGUAACUGCUCCAGCCUUGACGGUAUCUGACCAGAAAGCCACGGCUAACUACGUGCCAGCCGCCGC
RNAcentral lists this ribosomal RNA (509 nucleotides) under uncultured bacterium. RNAcentral's name for it is "bacterial SSU rRNA". It matches the Rfam family "Bacterial small subunit ribosomal RNA", at positions 36 to 518 of the family's 1533-position model. The record is from RNAcentral.